CGAUCAGCUGCCUCUUGCACACUUCCUAUUGGGGAUGUUCCUGCAACCAAGGUACAUGCCCUUGACUGGAAUCGAACCUGGGACCUUUCAGUCCUCAGGCCGACGCUCUAUCCACUGACUCAAUCCGGUUUUGGCUGCAGAAGCCUUUUAAAUG
Long non-coding RNA from Pipistrellus kuhlii (Kuhl's pipistrelle), 154 nucleotides. RefSeq lists it as uncharacterized. The transcript has 3 exons. Lineage: Eukaryota; Metazoa; Chordata; Mammalia; Chiroptera; Vespertilionidae. The record is from RefSeq and is a predicted model, not a curated record.